WWAACUGGGAUUAGAUACCCCACUAUGCUCAGUCGUAAACACCGAUUUAAUUUUAUCCGCCAGAGAACAACGAGCAAAGCUUAAAACCCAAAGGACUUGGCGGCGCUUCAUAUCACCCUAGAGGGGCCUGUCACAUAAUCGAUAACCCACGAUACMCCUCACCACUUUUAGCCAUAUCAGCCUAUAUACCGCCGUCGCCAGUCCAUCUCGAGGAAAGAAACAAAAUGGACUAAAAAGUAUAAAUACUAAAACGACAGGUCAAGGUGUAGCUCAUAAAAUGGUAAAUGAUGGACCACAUUGCUUAAUAAAGCCACACCAAAACUGCACUGAAACACACGCUUCAAGGUGAAUUUAACAGUAAGACAAACAAGAAAAUCUGUCUAAAGUAUGCUCUGAAGCGUGCACACACCGCCCGUCACCCU
RNAcentral lists this ribosomal RNA (422 nucleotides) under Chamaeleo dilepis (flapneck chameleon). RNAcentral's name for it is "partial 12S ribosomal RNA". Lineage: Eukaryota; Metazoa; Chordata; Lepidosauria; Squamata; Chamaeleonidae. The record is from RNAcentral.